CUGGGUUGUACUGGUCAUACUGGUGGCACUGGUGGUACUGGGAGCCCUGGUGGUACUGGUGGCACUGGUGGCACUGGGUUGUACUGGGCUGUACUGGUGGCACUGGUGGCACUGGGGAUACUGGUGGUGAUACUGGUGAUACUGGGAGCACUGGUGGCACUGGGAGCACUGGUUAUACUGGUGAUACUGGGAGCACUGGUGAUACUGGGAGCACUGGUGGUUCUGGUGCUGAUACUGGUGGUACUGGUGAUACUGGGAGCACUGGUGGCGCUGGGUUGUACUGGGUUGUACUGGUCAUACUGGUGGCACUGGUGGCACUGGGGAUACUGGAAGUACUGGUGAUACUGGUGGUGGUACUGGUGAUACUGGGAGCACUGGUGCUACUGGUUGCACUGGUGAUACUGGUCAUACUGGUGAUACUGGUGGUACUGGUGGCACUGGUGGCACUGGUGAUACUGGGUUCCCUGAUGAUACUGGUGGCACUGGUGGUACUGGUUGUACUGGGAGCACUGGAGGCACUGGGUUGUACUGGUCAUACUGGUGAUACUGGUGGUACUGGGAGCUCUGGAGACACUGGGAGCACUGGUGAUACUGGUCAUACUGGUGAUACUGGUGGUACUGGUGGCACUGGGUUGUACUGGGUUGUACUGGUCAUCCUGGAGGUACUGGUGAUACUGGGAGCACUGGUGGUACUGGGAGCACUGGUCAUACUGGUGGUACUGGGCCGUACUGGGUUGUACUGGUCAUACUGGUGGUGGUACUGGUGAUACUGGGAGCACUGGUGAUACUGGUGGCACUGGGCUGUACUGGGUUGUACUGGUCAUACUGGUGGCACUGGUGAUACUGGGAGCACUGGGUUGUACUGGUGGUGGUACUGGUGAUACUGGUGGUACUGGGAGCUCUGGAGACACUGGGAGCACUGGUGAUACUGGUCAUACUGGUGAUACUGGUGGUACUGGUGGCACUGGGCUGUACUGGGUUGUACUGGUCAUACUGGUGGCACUGGUGGUACUGGGAGCACUGGUGAUACUGGUGGCACUGGUGGCACUGGGAGUACUGGGCUGUACUGGGUUGUACUGGUGGCACUGGGGAUACUGGUGGUGAUACUGGUGAUACUGGGAGCCCUGGAGACACUGGGAGCACUGGUGAUACUGGUCAUACUGGUGGUACUGGUGGUACUGGGAGCACUGGAGACACUGGUGGCACUGGUGAUACUGGUGGUACUGGGAGCAGUGGGCUGUACUGGGUUGUACUGGUCAUACUGGUGGCACUGGUGGUACUGGGAGCCCUGGUGGUACUGGUGAUACUGGUGGCACUGGGUUGUACUGGGCUGUACUGGUGGCACUGGUGGCAAUGGGGAUACUGGUGGUGAUACUGGUGAUACUGGGAGCACUGGUGGCACUGGGAGCACUGGUGGUACUGGUGAUACUGGGAGCACUGGUGGUACUGGGAGCACUGGUGGUUCUGGUGCUGAUACUGGUGGUACUGGUGAUACUGGGAGCACUGGUGGCGCUGGGUUGUACUGGGUUGUACUGGUCAUACUGGAGGCACUGGUGGUACUGGGGAUACUGGGAGUACUGGUGAUACUGGUGGUGGUACUGGUGAUACUGGUGGCACUGGUGCUACUGGGUUGUACUGGGUUGUACUGGUCAUACUGGUGGUACUGGUGGCACUGGAUUGUACUGGGUUGUACUGGUCCUACUGGUGGCACUGGGGAUACUGGGAGCACUGGUGAUACUGGUGGUACUGGUGACACUGGGAGCACUGGUGGUACUGGGAGCACUGGUGAUACUGCUGACACUGGUGGUACUGGGUUGUACUGGUCAUACUGGUGGUACUGGUGAUACUGGGAGCUCUGGAGACACUGGGAGCACUGGUGAUACUGGUCAUACUGGUGGUACUGGGGAUACUGGGAGCUCUGGAGACACUGGGAGCACUGGUGGUACUGGGAGCACUGGUGGCACUGGUGAUACUGGGUUGUACUGGUCAUACUGGUGGCACUGGUGACGCUGGUGGUACUGGAAGUACUGGUGAUACUGGUGGUGGUACUGGUGAUACUGGGAGCACUGGUGCUACUGGUUGCACUGGUGAUACUGGUCAUACUGGUGAUACUGGUGGUACUGGUGGCACUGGUGGCACUGGUGAUACUGGGAGCCCUGAUGAUACUGGUGGCACUGGUGGUACUGGUUGUACUGGGAGCACUGGAGGCACUGGGUUGUACUGGUCAUACUGGUGAUACUGGUGGUACUGGGAGCUCUGGAGACACUGGGAGCACUGGUGAUAAUGGUCAUACUGGUGAUACUGGUGGUACUGGUGGCACUGGGCUGUACUGGGUUGUACUGGUGAUACUGGUGGCACUGGUGGCACUGGGCUGUACUGGGUUGUACUGGUCAUACUGGUGGCACUGGUGAUACUGGCGGUACUGGUGGCACUGGGCUGUAAUGGUGGUGUGCAGGACCCCUUCAGGCCCCGCCCCCUUCAGGCAACAUCCAAUCAGGCCACGCCCUCUCAAGCCACGCCCAUGACAGGCCCCGCCCCACUUUGCCGCAAUGUCCAAUCCGGCCCCGCCCCCCCGCGCGCUUUGGCCCCGCCCACUUUGAUUAACGCCCAAUCGCGCCCCGCCCCGAUUAUGCCCCGCCCCGCCCCUCCGUUUUGGCCCCGCCCACUUUGCGGCAGUGUCCAAUCAGGCCCCUCCCCCGAUCGGGACCAGCCCAUUAGUCCAGCCACGCCCAGUUUGCGCUAACGUCCAAUCAGGCCCCGCCCCGUUAAGCCCCCCCCCCCCGUCGGGCCACGCCCAGUUUGCAGCAACGUCCAAUCAGACACCGCUCUUUUAAGCCCCGCCCAUCUGUCCAGCCACGCCCGAUUUGCGGUAUUAUCUAAUUCGGCCCCGCCCCCCCAGCUCAGACCCCGCCCAGUUUGGGAUCUCGUCCAAUCAGACCCCACCCCUUUAAACCCUGCCCCCGCUCAGACCCCCGCCCUGUUUGAG
This is a long non-coding RNA of Gallus gallus (chicken), 2986 nucleotides long. Lineage: Eukaryota; Metazoa; Chordata; Aves; Galliformes; Phasianidae. The record is from Ensembl.